This 425-nucleotide ribosomal RNA is filed under the name uncultured bacterium. RNAcentral describes it as "bacterial SSU rRNA". It matches the Rfam family "Bacterial small subunit ribosomal RNA", at positions 356 to 773 of the family's 1533-position model. The record is from RNAcentral.
GGGGAAUUUUGGACAAUGGGCGAAAGCCUGAUCCAGCCAUGCCGCGUGAGUGAAGAAGGCCUUCGGGUUGUAAAGCUCUUUCGGCGGGGAAGAAAACGCAUUCUCUAAUACAGGAUGCGGAUGACGGUACCCGCAUAAGAAGCACCGGCUAACUACGUGCCAGCAGCCGCGGUAAUACGUAGGGUGCGAGCGUUAAUCGGAAUUACUGGGCGUAAAGCGUGCGCAGGCGGUUUUGUAAGACAGGCGUGAAAUCCCCGGGCUCAACCUGGGAAUGGCGCUUGUGACUGCAAGGCUAGAGUACGGCAGAGGGGGGUGGAAUUCCACGUGUAGCAGUGAAAUGCGUAGAGAUGUGGAGGAACACCGAUGGCGAAGGCAGCCCCCUGGGCCGAUACUGACGCUCAUGCACGAAAGCGUGGGGAGCAAAC